GUCCAUGCUGUAAACUAUGAGAACUUGCUGUUGGAUGCAUAAAGGCAUUUAGUAGCGAAGCUAACGCGUUAAGUUCUCCGCCUGGGAGUACGGCCGCAAGGCUAAACUCAAAGGAAUUGACGGGGCCCGCACAAGCGGUGGAGCAUGUGGUUUAAUUCGAUGCAACGCGAAGAACCUUACCUACUCUUGAAUCCACGGAAUCUGAUAGAGAUAUCGGAGUGCCUUCGGGAACCGUGAGACAGGUGCUGCAUGGCUGUCGU
Molecule: ribosomal RNA, 260 nt
Filed under: uncultured bacterium
Lineage: Bacteria
Description: partial 16S ribosomal RNA
Rfam family: Bacterial small subunit ribosomal RNA
Source: RNAcentral